This 430-nucleotide ribosomal RNA is filed under the name uncultured bacterium. Its description in RNAcentral is "bacterial SSU rRNA". It matches the Rfam family "Bacterial small subunit ribosomal RNA", at positions 29 to 507 of the family's 1533-position model. The record is from RNAcentral.
AACGAACGCUGGCGGCAGGCUUAACACAUGCAAGUCGAACGCCCCUUCGGGGGAGUGGCAGACGGGUGAGUAACGCGUGGGAAUCUACCCAGCUCUACGGAAUAACUGAGGGAAACUUCAGCUAAUACCGUAUACGUCCUUCGGAGAAAGAUUUAUCGGAGUUGGAUGAGCCCGCGUUGGAUUAGCUAGUUGGUGGGGUAAGUGGCCUACCAAGGCGACGAUCCAUAGCUGGUCUGAGAGGAUGAUCAGCCACACUGGGACUGAGACACGGCCCAGACUCCUACGGGAGGCAGCAGUGGGAAUAUUGGACAAUGGGCGCAAGCCUGAUCCAGCCAUGCCGCGUGAGUGAUGAAGGCCCUAGGGUUGUAAAGCUCUUUCAACGGUGAAGAUAAUGACGGUAACCGUAGAAGAAGCCCCGGCUAACUUCGUG